Molecule: long non-coding RNA, 4986 nt
Organism: Oreochromis niloticus (Nile tilapia)
Lineage: Eukaryota; Metazoa; Chordata; Actinopteri; Cichliformes; Cichlidae
Exons: 2
Source: RefSeq, a predicted model, not a curated record
UAAAUAAAAAGAAGUAUUGUGGUAUUAGGCACGAAGGGUUUCCUGUAGUUUAGACUGGAUUAGAUUAAUAAAAGAAGCAAUGCAGGCAAAACCACUGUGUAAUUGUAUAUGAGUCCUAAAUCUAACUGAGAACAUUAGGAUUUAAAAGCACAGCAUCGGCAUAUAGCAGAUAGAGGUAGGAUGGCAGAAGUGCAUUACACGUCAAUACUGCAUUUUACACAGAGCAAUUUGGCACCCACACUUCACCCACACACACACACACACACACACAAAACCUAUUUUUAUUAAAAUACUGACUGCAGGCUGAUUUGACUUAAAAUAGAAAAAUACCAAGAGAAAACACCACUGACAGGGAGCAAAACUGCAGACAAAAUUAUGCCAGCAAAAUGUGCAAACUUGUGUCUUUUACACUGAACACAGUCACGGGUUAUUUUCGGGACUAAACUGCUGUUGCUUUUUUAAAAUAAUGACAGAACAAUUAGCGGCUAAAGUGGCAGCUAGCUCAGAGCUAACGCUGCUUUAUCACAGUCGGCAUCUCCAUCUUCUCAUAACAAUGGCUGUCGGCGCCGCUCGCACGGUAACAACAAAACCCUCACCCAAAAGCUGGCGAUAAAAAACGGUGACAACACAUGGACGUAACUCCCCAACGUCCGUUUAUUUCAAUCGACUGCGCGAAUCCGAGCCCGCUUUUAAGCUAUGUGUGAUUUGUCGCCUUGAAGUAAUACGGCAAAAAGGGUGCAGUCCUCUUCAUAACAAGCAGGCCCUGCUGAUCCCUUCUGUAGCUAGCAGGCUAUCGGGAUUUCUGCUCCUCUCCGCUCGCUGCUUCAUGGAUUCAACACAACUCGAUUUUCUCCGACAGAAACCGCCUCACUCACCUUGGGUGUAGUUUAGCACGUACACGAAGAGGAAAACUUUAAGGAGAAGGCGCCGUGACGUCAGACGCAGGAUAGCCUGGCAUCCCUUCCCCCAGAAGCGUCCAUGAUCCAGCAGGCCUGCAUACAUUACAGCACUCAGUGUGCCUCGGAUCUACAGUCGUGGCCAAACGUUUUGAGAAUUACAUAAAUAUUGGAAAAGUUGCUGCUUAAGUUUGUAUAAUAGUAAUUUGCAUAUACCCCAGAAUGUUAUGAAGAGUGAUCAGGUGAAUUGCAUAGUCCUUCUUUGCCAUGAAAAUGAACUUAAUCCCAAAAAAACCUUUCCACUGCAUUCCAUUGCUGUCAUUAAAGGACCUGCUGAGAUCAUUUCAGUAAUCGUCUUGUUAACUCAGGUGAGAAUGUUGACGAGCACAAGGCUGGAGAUCAUUAUGUCAGGCUGAUUGGGUUAGAAUGGCAGACCUGACAUGUUAAAAGGAGGGUGAUGCUUGAAAUCAUUGUUAACCAUGGUGACCUGCAAAGAAACGCGUGCAGCCAUCAUUGCGUUGCAUAAAAAUGGCUUCACAGGCAAGGAUAUUGUGGCUACUAAGAUUGCACCUAAAUCAACAAUUUAUAGGAUCAUCAAGAACUUCAAGGAAAGAGGUUCAAUUCUUGUUAAGAACGCUUCACGGCGUCCAAGAAAGUCCAGCAAGCGCCAGGAUCAUCUCCUAAAGAGGAUUCAGCUGCGGGAUCAGAGUGCCACCAGUGCAGAGCUUGCUCAGGAAUGGCAGCAGGCAGGUGUGAGCGCAUCUGCACGCAUAGUGAGGGGAAGACUGUUGGAAGAUGGCCUGGUGUCAAGAAGGGCAGCAAAGAAGUCACUUCUCUCCAAAAAAAACAUCAGGGACAGAUUGAUCUUCUGCAGAAAGUAUGGUGAAUGGACUGCUGAGGACUGGGGCAAAGUCAUAUUCUCCGAUGAAGCCUCUUUCCGAUUGUUUGGGGCAUCUGGAAAAAGGCUUGUCCGGAGAAGAAACGGUGCGCGCUACCAUCAGUCCUGUGUCAUGCCAACAGUGAAGCAUCCUGAGACCAUAGUUGCUUCUGAUCCAAGGGAGUGGGCUCACACGACUGUAGUGUCAUGCGUGUGUGUCAUAUAUAAAUAUAUGCACACAUCAAUAAACAUGAAAAUUCUAGAGUUUUUCUCAACAUAACAACUUAACUGCUCAAUUAUUUCAGCUACAGGGCUUUUAGUACAAUUGCACAUGAUUUUACAUUAAUAUUACAUAAACGAUUCACUGUUGAAGCCACUUUAUGCAAAACUGUGAAACACCCCCGAGUAUCAACCGCCCACUGUGACUGAUACUACUACUUGAUUUUUGUUUUUAAAUGUCCACCAAGCAGGUUGUGACUGGCUGGUCUGCCAGAGAGCAUACUGGAUACUUUGUGUCAAACCAGUGAUGUAUGCCUCUGAUUUAUGACAGAGGAAGUAAUUAAAGGUAAUGGCAAUUUUUCUUAAUAUCAUAAAUUAUGAUAUAUUUAAUAACUCAUUAAUAAUCAAUAAUCACAUUGUUUAACACAUUUUCACACAAAACACAGAGUUUUUGUCAGAAAGUAAACGUUUUGGCUUAAAAUGACAACAGCGCUCCAGUAUGAAUUAUUAUUCCAUCAUUUUAAUAUCUCAAACAUCCUAUUCAUCAUCCUAUUCCAUCGGCAUAUUUUCAUGAUCAUAUUUUUUUGGUCAGAAUAUUAUUGAUUAUUAUCGAGUUAUGAAAUAUAAAAAGUAUUACUGGUUUGACACAUGGUAUGUAAUAUCUAUCUCUUCUGCUUCUUAGCUCAAAAAGUCGAUUCUGUUCAUCUGGGCGUAGAAACAUUUUGUCACUUAUCCAAGUGACUUCUUCAGUCUCAGCUGAGUGGUGUUUCCUUAGCAUUAUAAACAGCACUUUUGCACAAUGACUGAAACUAGCACCACUGAUGAACAAUGGGCUGUGAGGUCAGUUUCUUGACCAUUAAAUUGGCAGAUGUACAGAUGAACAGAAGCAACUUUAGGGUUUUUCUUACCUGGACGAUUGAGCAUGUAUCAAAACAUUGAUUUACACACUUUCUAAAUAUUGCAUUUUUACUACUACGUUCUUACUAAAUACGCUGCUGCUUGCGGUCUUUGUUCACAGGCUCGGAAUAUUUUAGUUGUUCCUUGUAGUCAAAUAAAGAGUAGGGGGGACAAACCCUUUCAGUCUGUGGCAUCAAGGCUUUUCAACAGUCUAUCACUACAGCCACAUUUAGCUGACUUUUAAAAAGAAGUUAAAAACUUUUUUUGUUUAAACUUUUUUAACUACCUGUUUUUUUGGCACUUAAUAUUCUUAUUUCCUAUACUAUUUUCUGCUGUACAGUGCUUUAUGACUGUGAAAAGGGCUUAAUAAAUAAACUUAACUUAUUAAUUUACGUACAAAUUUCAAAGAGCUGAAACAUGAAAAUUAGAUAACAAAUUCACUGUUUAUGCUACAAAAUAGAGAAAAAACUUUUUUGGCCUCUAGUUUUGAUCAUUAACUGCUUAUUUUUACUUGCACCAGGGAGGUUGUGUUUGGUUUGGUUUGUCUGGGUGUUAGCAACAUUACUCAAAACCUGUUUGGACAGGUUGGAAUAAUUUCUUUUUUAAUCAUCAAUAAACUGGACUUUUUCAUUUAUUUAUUUUUUACAUUUUGCAUAUCUUGACAAAUAUCAAAUUGAAAUAAAAUAACAUUAAAGUUAACAUUUAUCCAACUAUUGUUCUUUUUUCUUUUGUUGUUGUAGCUUUGGCAUACUUUAUAAAUUCUUAUAAAUUGCCAAAAAAACGUAUGUUGCUUCAUUCACAACACUCAGCAUGUCCUAAGGUUUGGCUUAUUAGACUUAUUUGUUUGUUAUGGAUGAAUUUACUCAAUUUCUUAAAAAUCAGAAGUGGGGGUUAUCCCAAAUUUGACUUAAUCCAGAUCUGGAUAAAGAGAUUUCUCAUACAUUCUGAAUCACUGAGUGAUGGAAAUACUGGAUAUUUUGUCAUAUCUUCACAACUUUAUAUCAAACUGAAAUAUUAAAAUCCAGAUUCAGAUUAUUCUGGAUUCACUGACUCUUCUCAUACCUGAUGUAGAUUCAUCUCUCAGCGGUGGUGUUUAUUCUCAGAGUGUUCUUGUUCUGAGAUGACUUUUACAGUUAAGUGACUGAGUCACAUCAUACCAGUAAUACAAUUAUGUCAUCUUAGCAUCAGGGAACCAAUUCAGACUGAACACUUAAUAAGUUAAUAGAGAAAGCAAACCACAGGUUGAGUGAUAAUUUAAAAAAGAAAUAACGGGCCUUUGGGAGAUGACUGUACACGGCAUUAAGCAUGACCACUUUUCUUGGUAGGGUACGGAGCCACUGUGGAGGAGUAGUUUAUACAAUGAAGGAUAUAUAUGGAGUGAAACUAAGCACAAUCAAAUUUUUGUAGGAAAACUAAACAAAUGAGGAAUUUAGGCAAGAAUUUGAUAUUUUAUUUAAAAGAUAUAAACUAUGAUUCAUUUUUAUUGUUAAUAACUGAUUUACGGCAAUGUCAAAGUUUGAAAUGAACAUGCUGAGGCAGAGUCUUAGCUUAUUAAACAGAUGUGUGCAUCUUAUAGUUAUUUCUGACCAUUUGAUAAUCAAAAAUGUUUAAUAUGCUUGCAUAACAGAAAGUCUGUUUAAAGAUUUUUUCUUUCUUCCUUUUUUUUAUUUUUAUUUUUAUACAGCAUUUGAAAAGGAAGCAGCUUUUUUUUGGGCUGGCUAAAAAUUUCCUUCAGUCCUGCCCUAAAAUACUCUGAUUAAAAGUAGCCCCAUGACUUCUUCCUUUGCACCCAGCUGAUAUCUUUGAUUAACCAAUGCUUAGUGGCAAAAAGCUUAUUUAUAGGCAUAAUAUCACAGUGUUUAAUUGCAUUGAAAAACUCAUAGAGCUGUCAUGCAAUUUAUAAGCAGCCAAGAAAAUGUGAGUCUUGGUUGCAUGGCAACCCACGAUCCUGUGAUUAUAGUGUUGCCCUAAAAAAGGAAACACCAUUAAAUUAGUGUAGUGGCUGGAUCUAUUUACUGUCAUGCAUCAGUUGCGAUUUUUGAUCCUAGAAGCUGUUAACGAUGAUCCUCAUCACAUAGUGCACGACUUCCUGUUGAA